UAACCUGUGGCCGAAAAGUUCCUCAAAAUGAGCUUCAGGAACUGACAUAAGUUUAGUUUAAAUUCAGAAUUCAGUUUUUUCGGAACUUUUCUAGAUUGCAGUGUAUGUACCUACUUAUAAGGCAAUUCGGUUUUCUUUUUAAAUUAGUUAAGAGUUGGCGUAAGUGUAAUGAUGGCGUUUCGUUUAGCGUCUGCUAAAUCUCCGCUACGUGGACUCCUCAAUGCUCUGCCAAAGUUAAGUUUUGGUAAAUAUGGCUUAGUUCGAAACAGCAGUAUAUUUGUUGAGCCACCUGUUCCUUGGUUGGAUAAUCCAAGUAUUGUCUUUUCAUCCACUGCCUUAAAACAUCAUUGGGGGGUAAGUAAUUGCAUUGUUCAAGCUUGGCAUCGUU
This is a long non-coding RNA of Drosophila arizonae, 388 nucleotides long. The record is from RefSeq and is a predicted model, not a curated record. Lineage: Eukaryota; Metazoa; Arthropoda; Insecta; Diptera; Drosophilidae.